Molecule: ribosomal RNA, 530 nt
Filed under: Helicobacter pylori SS1
Lineage: Bacteria; Pseudomonadati; Campylobacterota; Epsilonproteobacteria; Campylobacterales; Helicobacteraceae
Description: bacterial LSU rRNA
Rfam family: Bacterial large subunit ribosomal RNA
Source: RNAcentral
CGGAGCUGUCAAGGAGCUUUGAUGCGUAGAUGUCCGAAUGGGGCAACCCAACUAAUAGAGAUAUUAGUUACUCUUUAAUAGAGAGCGAACCUAGUGAAGGAAACAUCUCAGUAACUAGAGGAAAAGAAAUCAACGAGAUUCCCUAAGUAGUGGCGAGCGAACGGGGRAAAGGGCAAACCGAGUGCUUGCAUUCGGGGUUGAGGACUGCAACAUCCAAGAGAACGCUUUAGCAGAGUUACCUGGAAAGGUAAGCCAUAGAAAGUGAUAGCCUUGUAUGCGACAAGGCGUUCUUAGGUAGCAGUAUCCAGAGUAGGCCAGGACACGAGAAAUCCAGGUUGAAGCCGGGGAGACCACUCUCCAACCCUAAAUACUACUCUUUGAGCGAUAGCGAACAAGUACCGUGAGGGAAAGGUGAAAAGAACCGCAGUGAGCGGAGUGAAAUAGAACCUGAAACCAUCUGCUUACAAUCAUUCAGAGCCCUAUGAUUUAUCAGGGUGAUGGACUGCCUUUUGCAUAAUGAUCCUGCGAGU